Molecule: long non-coding RNA, 832 nt
Organism: Stegodyphus dumicola
Lineage: Eukaryota; Metazoa; Arthropoda; Arachnida; Araneae; Eresidae
Source: RefSeq, a predicted model, not a curated record
CGUCUACACGUACCGAUUUUAUCGGCCGACUUUCUCGCAGAGGAACAAUUUUCAGGAUGUGCGCAUGCGCUAAAAAUCUGUCAUGUUCUCUGCGACGAUUUCAGAGCUAGUGUUCACCGCUCACUAGCCGACGAUAAAAUCGGCGACUCUAGCCAAUUAGAUUGCUUCCAGAGAUCACGUGCUUUUCUCUCUCAUUUUGGAAUCAUUUUGGAAACAUGGCGCUUUUUCGUUGGAGCGAAAAUCAAAUUUUUCAAUUGAUUGAUUUUUAUAGAGACCAUGCUGUGUUGUGGGACACAAAUAACAUAAAUUAUAAAAAUAAAAAGUUAAAGGAUUCCCUUAUUUUGGACUUAAGCACACAAAUAUGCGUUCCAGAAAAUGAAAUUAAAAAAAAAAAAUGGAGUAACCUGCGUACUCAAUUUACAAAGGAGAAACAUAAAGAGAAAAAAAAAUUAUACAUCUGGUGCAAGCACUGCCAUGCAGUACAAAUCGGCAUGGCAGUUUUACACAUCGUUACAAUUUUUAAGUGAUGUCGUGUCCUUAAGGAAUACUGUGACUUCUUUGGAUUUUAAUGAUACUAGUACACAAGAAAGAAGUGCAGAAGUUACCAGUCAUUCUGAGGAGAUGUUUGACAUGAACGAUUUUGAAGACAGACACUGAAGAGACACAGAGAGAACUAUGUCAUACACAAACACUACCACAGCUAAAAAGACACACAUCAAACACUACAACUUCAAACAAAAAACAGAAACACGAUCACAUUUACACAGCAGCCACAACAACACUGGAAGAAAUUUCUACAAUAUUAAAAUCAAAAAACACUACUCCAAAUACA